GCUAGGAGUUCCAUACUGCUGCCAUGAGUUGAAUACAAUUGCAUCUGGAUUCCACCUGCGAUCAUUGUCAUUUACGAAAAGCGGUGCAUAACUCGCCAUUCCCACAAUAUCACUGUUCUUUUCUAACCCAAUGAGAAAUCCAGCUUCUGCUAGCGCAGCUAAGAAGCUUCCUUUGCCAGCGUCAUUGCCGGUUACAGCAUACUCGCUAACAAAAGCCUUCGGACCGGUACGUGAUGUGAGGUCAAAUUGAGUAGCCAUUGAAAAAAGGUUG
This 271-nucleotide unclassified non-coding RNA is filed under the name Hevea brasiliensis (rubber tree). The record is from RNAcentral. Lineage: Eukaryota; Viridiplantae; Streptophyta; Magnoliopsida; Malpighiales; Euphorbiaceae.